This 143-nucleotide unclassified non-coding RNA is filed under the name uncultured Capnodiales. RNAcentral's name for it is "sequence contains ITS2". The record is from RNAcentral. Lineage: Eukaryota; Fungi; Ascomycota; Dothideomycetes; Capnodiales.
AACACCCAUCAAGCCUAGCUUGGUAUUGGGCGACGGGACCUCCCCGCGCCCCGAUUUCGCCGGCUGGACGACCCUCACUCUCAGCGUUGUGAUGAAUCUCGCUGUCGAGACGGGCGGCCACGCCGUUAACCUCAAUCAAAUCA